Molecule: transfer RNA, 108 nt
Organism: Gonium pectorale
Lineage: Eukaryota; Viridiplantae; Chlorophyta; Chlorophyceae; Chlamydomonadales; Volvocaceae
Rfam family: tRNA
About the family: Transfer RNA (tRNA) molecules are approximately 80 nucleotides in length. Their secondary structure includes four short double-helical elements and three loops (D, anti-codon, and T loops).
Source: Rfam
GACGAGGUGGCCGAGCGGUCUAAGGCGCAAGGUUCAGGACUAUCUGGGUCCAUUCAGAGGUGACGAUUCUAGUCCGAAAGGGCGGGGGUUCAAAUCCCACCCUCGUCA